AGCCUUUCCUGUUCCCUCCCACCUCCUCUCUCAUAUGAACCCUACUCCCUUUCUCUCUUUCCUUAGAAAACAAAUGGGCUUCUGAGGGAUAAUAAUAAAAUAAAAUAUUAUAAGAUAAAUAAAAAACUAAUACAUCAGAACAUAUAUAUGUGUGUGUAUAUGUAUGUAUAUAUAUAUAUCCCUAGUUUUGCUUUAUCUUACCUUAUAUUUUAUAAUAAAUAUAACUAUAUUAUAUAUUAUAAUAUAUCAUCUUAUAUUAUAUAUAUCAGAUAUUAUAUAUUAUAUGUUAUACACACACACAUAUAUACAAACACACACACACACACACACACACACACACACACACACAUAUAUAUAUAUAUAUAUCCAAAGAGAAGGCACAAGAAUUAGAGACUCACACACAGAAUCUCACAAAAACACAAGACUAGAAGCCAUGAUACACACAGAGGACCUGAUGCAGACCCAUGCAGGCCCUGUGCAUGCUACCUCAGUCUCUGAGUUCAUGUGAGCCCUGCUCAUACUGAUUUACAGGAUCUGGUUCCCCUGGAUCUCCUCCUGGCUUCUACACUCUUUUCCUGAGCCCCAAGGACGGGAUUUGAUGGAGACAUCCCAUUGAGGGCUGAGUGUUCCAAGGACUCACUCUGUAUAAUGUCUGUCUGUGGGUCUCUGUGUUUUUUUUUUCCCGUCUACUGCAGGAGGAAGCCUCUCUUAUGAUAACUGUGUUCUUAUUUGCUUAUUUGUUUAUUUAUUUAUUUAAUGCCAGAAUUCUGAGACCACAAGUUUCUCCUGGAUAUACAUCCUGUGCAUUAUAGGUAUGGACUCACUUUUUUUCAUAUAUACAUCCCUUGGGGUAGACAUUAUCAUCAUUUUGCUUAUGAGGAGACUGAAGUAGCUGAAAGACCACCUGAGCACACCUCAGAGCGGCUCCUUUCUGAUGAAUCCAGGGACCUGUCUCCAUGCCUUUUUUCUGUGUAGACCUGCAGCUGGGACUCAGCCAACUGUCCUUUACCACUGCUCCUGCCUCUGGACAUUUCAGGAGGCGACAUGAGCUCAUGAAUCCUGUGUGCUCAAGUCCAGGCUCUAACUGUGUAGCAUUUGUGGAAAAGCUCAUGACUGGAUGGGUGUUAGGUUGCCGGGGACUCCCAUCUGACAGCACGGGUGCCGGGAGGCGGGGGGAUGCCUUUGUGCAGAAUCUGCACUCAGAAGAUCCCUGUUUACCCAACAAAAUUGUGCUUCUGCAAAAAUUGUGUCUAUCUAGAGGUGGAUAGAGACAGAGACUCCAUCUUCUCUUCCUUGGGUUGAUAGGCAAUGAUUCAAGGUAGAUGUUCAUGUUCACAAAUACUAAAGGGAAUGCUGUAUUAUGGAAGGAAGAAUGUAGGCUUUGGAAUCAUAUGCAUUAACAUUUGCUCACAAGUGAGACUCUGCCGGGUGAUUUUCCUUUGUUAACUGUUACAUGGGAUAUGAGUGCACGAAGGUGUGCCUACUGAUGUGGGUGGAGGCCAGAGAUCGAAAUCUAGCGUCUUCAGUAACCACUGCCUACCUUAUUCUUCAAGACAAGGUCUCUCACAGAAUCAGAGCUCAUAGCUCUGGCUGGACUGGCUGGCCAGGGAGCACCUGGGCUCUGUUUGUCAUCUGCCCCACCCAUCUCUGCCCCACCCCUCUCUUGCUGUUGGGGUUAUAUACAUGGGGCAACAUGCCUGGAUUUUUAUGUGUAUUCUAGGUUCAUUUAUGUUUCUGCAAUUAAAAAUACCCUAACAGAAAGCAAACUAGGGAAGGAAAGGUUCGUUUGGUUUACAGUUCCACAUUACAGUUCAUUUUUGUGGGAAAGACAAAGCAAGAGCCUUAAGUAUCACAUCCAUAAUCAAGGGCAGAAAGAUAAUGUAUGUAUGCAUCCUUGCUUGCUCUCAGCUGGCUUUCCCUUCCCUUGUACUCUUCAAGACAAUGCUCUACAGACAUGCCCACCCACUAGCCUGAUCUAGAUAAUUCCUCAUAAAGACUCUCUUCCCAGUGAUUUUGGGUUGUGUCGAGUUGACAGAUAAAGGAAACCAGCACAAUAUGGGAGUUGGCUAUCGAAACUCAGAUUCUUACACUUGCAAGGCAAGCAGUUCACCCACUUAGCCAUCUCCCUAGCCCCUUGAUUAAUCUUUAGGACAUAAUUGCUCCAUCUGAAAAAAAAAUAGGAUAUGCUGUCUCUUUACAGGGUCAUUACGAUAUUGCACAUUAUAUAAAUUGCAUUAGUAUAUAGUUUUGUUUUAUUUUAUAGUAAAACCAGGCUAGGCUACACUGUAAUAGCAAGUAAUUCUUGAUCUUGGUUAUAUGAUAUAAUUAUUUACAUCUUGUGUCAUAAGUCUGCCCGUGGCUUCUCACUCUGAUAGAAAAGCAUUGUCUAAAGCACAGCUAAAUACCUGACAAAGGGCAACUUAAUAAAGGGGGGGUUUAUCUUGGCUCGCAGUUCUUAGGGAUACAGUCCAUCAUGGUGGGGAAGGUAUGGUGGCAAGUGUGGCAGAUAGCUGGUCAUGUUGAGUUCACAGUCAAGAAGCAGAGAAGGAGGAAUGUUGGCAUCUCUCUCCUGUCUACUUUUCACUCAACCUAUAGAAUAAUACCAUCACCCAUAUUUAGGGUGGGUCUGCCUUCUUCAGUUAAGCCUUUCUAGACAAACACACACUCACACCCUCACACACUCACACAGUCACAUACAUAUGCUUAGAGAUAUGUUUCCAUGGUGAUUCUCAACCCAUUCAAGUUGAAAAUGAAGGUUAGCCAUUAGAUCUAUCAUGUAGUUAUAUUCCUCUUUGAGUGAAUUUUGUACUGCUUUCUCUAGUACCUACAUUACUCUCCCAUUUACUGGCAUUAUCUUAUCCCUUUGAGGUUUAUCUCCUUGCCUGCACCAUCCAGGAAGAGCUGGGGAAUACUUGUGGCUCUGUUUCACAUUAUUUGUGCAAAGGACAGAGUCUCUCUUGUGUCAUUAAUCAUGGCUUAAUCUGGCAUUUAUUACUCCCUCCUCCUUGUUUUACUUUGUAAUUUUCUCCAGAGGUCAUGGCUAGAGGCAUGGGUUAUACUUUAAAUCCUUAAAAAGAACAUGAAAAUGCAGAAGUUAUCCUUUAUAUGCCUUUAUUGGACUUUUGUCAUUUUUUAUUACCACUAAUAUACUACUUACACCUACAGACUAUCUAUCACUGAACUUCUCCAAGAUCCUUAGCAAUGCCAAGUAAGGAAUGUCUGUGAGAUCUAAUAUAGAGAUUCAGCCCCAUAGAGAAUUACAAGAAUAAAAUUAAUUUGAGGAAUUCUUUUAAUUUCAGUUAGCAUCUGACUUGUAGGUGUGCGAGAUGUUUCUGAUUUUAUGCUACUGUGGGAAAGGGACACUUGGGGAAGUUUAGAGUCUAAUUUUUAGACACUCAUCCACCCCUCUCCACCCUCUAUGAAACACUGAAUUUGAACAAAUAUCUUACCCUUGGAAUUUGUAUUUAUGUCCCCCUGGUGUUGAUCCUUUAACUCUCGAAAUGGGGACCUCUUCCACCCUGUCUUGACCCUCAAGUGUGAAAGGCUUCUGCUCUCCUCUGUUUGUGGCACCAGAUAAAGACACUUUGAGAUAUACAGUUUUGUAUAUAGAGAUAACAGCAGUAAUUUCCUUCCUUAGUGUCCUAGUUAGGAUUUCUAUUGCUGCAACAAUACACCAUG
This 3678-nucleotide long non-coding RNA is filed under the name Mus musculus (house mouse). RNAcentral describes it as "long non-coding RNA chr2:4090809-4094487". Lineage: Eukaryota; Metazoa; Chordata; Mammalia; Rodentia; Muridae. The record is from RNAcentral.